GGGUAACAGGGUGGCACAGUGGUUAGAGUGUCGGGCUACAGCCUGGGAGACUAGGGUUCAAAUCUCCAGUUGGCCA
Molecule: non-coding RNA, 76 nt
Organism: Podarcis lilfordi (Lilford's wall lizard)
Lineage: Eukaryota; Metazoa; Chordata; Lepidosauria; Squamata; Lacertidae
Source: the annotation of a GenBank genome assembly